Molecule: ribosomal RNA, 460 nt
Filed under: uncultured bacterium
Lineage: Bacteria
Description: partial 16S ribosomal RNA
Rfam family: Bacterial small subunit ribosomal RNA
Source: RNAcentral
CCUACGGGAGGCAGCAGUGAGGAAUAUUGGUCAAUGGACGAGAGUCUGAACCAGCCAAGUAGCGUGAAGGAUGACUGCCCUAUGGGUUGUAAACUUCUUUUAUAUGGGAAUAAAACGUUCCACGUGUGGGAUUUUGUAUGUACCAUAUGAAUAAGGAUCGGCUAACUCCGUGCCAGCAGCCGCGGUAAUACGGAGGAUCCGAGCGUUAUCCGGAUUUAUUGGGUUUAAAGGGAGCGUAGGUGGAUUGUUAAGUCAGUUGUGAAAGUUUGCGGCUCAACCGUAAAAUUGCAGUUGAAACUGGCAGUCUUGAGUACAGUAGAGGUGGGCGGAAUUCGUGGUGUAGCGGUGAAAUGCUUAGAUAUCACGAAGAACUCCGAUUGCGAAGGCAGUUCACUGGACUGCAACUGACACUGAGGUUCGAAAGUGUGGGUAUCAAACAGGAUUAGAUACCCCUGUAGUC